GACGGAGGGUGCGAGCGUUAUUCGGAUUUAUUGGGCGUAAAGAGCGUGUAGGCGGCCGGCCAAGUCAGAUGUGAAAGCCCGAGGCUCAACCUCGGAAGUGCAUUUGAAACUGGUUGGCUUGAGUUCGGGAGAGGGAAGCGGAAUUCCGGGUAUAGAGGUGAAAUUCGUAGAUAUCCGGAGGAACACCGGUGGCGAAGGCGGCUUCCCGGACCGAAACUGACGCUGAGACGCGAAAGCGUGGGGAGCAAACAGG
This 253-nucleotide ribosomal RNA is filed under the name uncultured bacterium. RNAcentral's name for it is "partial 16S ribosomal RNA". It matches the Rfam family "Bacterial small subunit ribosomal RNA", at positions 524 to 776 of the family's 1533-position model. The record is from RNAcentral.